RNAcentral lists this ribosomal RNA (112 nucleotides) under Caerostris darwini. The record is from RNAcentral. Lineage: Eukaryota; Metazoa; Arthropoda; Arachnida; Araneae; Araneidae.
AACGGCCGUACCAUGCUGAAUAUACCGGUUCUCGUUAGAUCACCGAAGUGAAGCAUCAUUGGGCGCGGUCAGUACUUGGGUGGGUGACCACCUGGGAAAUACCGCGUGCCGU